This 53-nucleotide ribosomal RNA is filed under the name Cronobacter sakazakii. RNAcentral's name for it is "partial 23S ribosomal RNA". RNAcentral also lists the same sequence under 1 other name. Lineage: Bacteria; Pseudomonadati; Pseudomonadota; Gammaproteobacteria; Enterobacterales; Enterobacteriaceae. The record is from RNAcentral.
GUUGAGCUAACCGGUACUAAUGAACCGUGAGGCUUAACCUUACAACGCCAAAG